This 238-nucleotide unclassified non-coding RNA is filed under the name Hevea brasiliensis (rubber tree). The record is from RNAcentral. Lineage: Eukaryota; Viridiplantae; Streptophyta; Magnoliopsida; Malpighiales; Euphorbiaceae.
GAUCCUUCACAUUUGGGAAUGAUUGCAUUGGAAGAGGACAAGCAAAUGAAACCUGUAAUCAAACGAUCAGCUUCUUGGACGUGCUGAGUUGAAGAAAGAGAUUUAACUACAAACGAAUAGAGAAAGCCACAAGGUGAGAGGAAUCUUCUGUUGUUUUGUUACAAGAACACUAUUUUUUGGCUCCUAUUCCCAUCCUUGUAAUAUUGCUCUUAAUUUUUACCGUAUACUCUUCCAACGA